This 253-nucleotide ribosomal RNA is filed under the name uncultured bacterium. Its description in RNAcentral is "partial 16S ribosomal RNA". It matches the Rfam family "Bacterial small subunit ribosomal RNA", at positions 524 to 776 of the family's 1533-position model. The record is from RNAcentral.
UACGUAGGGGGCAAGCGUUGUCCGGAAUCAUUGGGCGUAAAGAGCGUGUAGGCGGCUUGGUAAGUCCGCUGUGAAAGUCCAGGGCUCAACCCUGGAAUGCCGGUGGAAACUGUCAGGCUCGAGUCCGGAAGAGGCGAGUGGAAUUCCUGGUGUAGCGGCGAAAUGCGCAGAUAUCAGGAGGAACACCAAUGGCGAAGGCAGCUCGCUGGGACGGUACUGACGCUGAGACGCGAAAGCGUGGGGAGCAAACAGG